AUGCAUCUACUUGUUUUCCAAGGGGGAAAACCCCACCAUCCACCAAAGGAAAGUGCAGGCCACAUAUUUUUACUAACAUUUCCCAGAAUCUUCACAUGUAUCCUUUCCUUCUUUCUUUCUUUCUUUUUUCUUGAGACGGAGUUUCGCUCUUGUUGCCCAGGCUGGAGUACAAUGGUACAAUCUUGGCUCACCACAACCUCCGACUCCCAGGUUCAAGCAAUUCUCCUGCCUCAGCCUCCUGAGUAGCUGGGAUUACAGGUCAAGUAAUUUUGUAUUUUUAGUAGAGACAGGUUUCUCCAUGUUUGUCAGGCUGAUCUUGAACUCCUGACUUCAGGUGAUCUGCCCAUCUCGGCCUCCCAAAGGGCUGCAAUUACAGGUGUGAGCCACCACACAUAGCCAAAAUUUAUUUUUUUAUAUAUUGAGACAGCAAUCUCUAUUUCCAUUUUUCUUAAUUUUCAAAUGUUUAUGUGUGUGCAUUUACUUCUGGAAAAAGCUUAGGUGAAUUUUAGACUUAUCUUAUGUGCAUGUCCUCUAUCAGUGAUUAUUCCCUGUGCUAUUUAUUGACAUUUAAAGAUUAAUUAAUAGACCCAGGAUGUAACUUAAACAGAAAAUUUCCAGUAAGUUUGAAUGUCUAUAUGAGCUCCUUCCUGGUGUCAUGUUCCUUACAUUUAUUCCCAAAGGCCAUCAAUGUAUUGAUAUAUAUUUUGACUUUUAAGUAAAUGAAAUUGCUUUAAACAUAUUUUUCAGUGAUUUACCUAUACUUUCAACAUUAUUUGAUUUUUUUAGAUUUUUAAAUUUUGUUGCAGGUUGUUGUAGUUUUUACUGUUAUAUUGUAUUAAAUUUUAUUUAUACAUUUUGUGUGGACAGAAAAUUAAGAUCCUACUAAACAGAGUCUAAUAUCAACAAACUUGUGAGCAUCCUUAUACAUGUCUCCUGGGUCCUGAAUAAAAGAGUUUCUUUAGGUUACCUACCAAGGAAUGGAAUUCCAGGCCAUAGCAAAUUAUUAUUAUCUUUAAAUUUACUAGUUAUUAUCAGAUUUUUUCCAGUGCUUGUAACAUUACACUCCUUAUUCUCCUUAUUGCAUAUCAUUACCCAAACUUGAUAUUUUCACACUUCUAAUUUACACAAACUGGUAGAAAUGUAUCUACUAGGAUUUAUCUCCUUGAGGUUUUAAUUUUUAUUUCUCUGAGUAAUAUUGACAAUUGAGUGUUUUACAUAUACCUGUGCCAUUCAUGUUUUACCAGUUAGUUUACUUAUUAAAAUGGCACAUUUACAUUUGAAGUUGAAGGAAAUGAUUCACGUCUCCACAAGAAAAAAUCUGAAGGAAGAUAAAGUUAUUGAGGGUCUCUUACAACUUUUGUAAAGUUAUGAGAAAUUUUUCUAUAGCUUUUUGUGUGAAAUACUUCCAAAUACAUUUCUGCUAUUAUUUGUGAACAUUGUAACUCAUCUGAAUGAGUAACUCAAUCUGCCUUAAAUACUCUUACCUUUGCUGUACUUAAUGAUAAUACUAUUGGAGAGGCUUUCUCCAAACUGAAACCACAAACUAUAAACAUGAAGAAGGCUCUUAAAUAAAGUUUUGAUGACUGAAGCUAAAAUGGCAUAGCCCAAAUAAAUAUAUUUGCAUAAUGUAUAGAUACAUGUUGACAUUGAAUCAUGCACAUUGUCAUGGAUACAAACAAUAAAUAUAUUUAUUAAUAUCUACUCCAAUUUUAUGGGUUUUAGCCAUAUGUUCUACAUCUUAGGGUUUUUUGUUGUUGUCGUUGUUGUUUUGUUGUGCUUUUUUUUUUUUUGCCAUUUUUAUUAUGUUACCAAACACUAUUUUCCAGCAGAUUUACUGGUUUAUCUUUUAUUCUUCCAAUCUCACCUAGUUAUUUUAAACUAUGAAAUGCCAAAGGCAAGAUAACAAGUCUAGGCAGUGAUGCAUGUUUUGUUACUAUGUGAGAAAUACUUUAACUCUAAUUGAGAAAUCUUACUAAGAAUGUAAUGAGAAAUAAUCUGUAGCUUUUAAACUAGCACUCUAGUUUUGCCCAUUUAAUCUUAUGAAAGAAAAAAUGUUACAUGAAAGAAUAAUAAUUACUCACAUAUUUAAUCAGCUCAUCCUUGUUAGUUCUAGUUCAUUUAAAGCUUGACUGUGUCCUAAGUAAGACAAAUGUUGAAGUUUCAUGUGUAUAUUGAGGAUGGGAAACCCAAGGUAUAAAAAUUUCAACUGGAUUUAAUGUGAAGUAAAUACAAAGCUGAUUAAAGCUUUUAGUAUUUUUGUUUUCAUACUGCUAUUUCUUGAAAAGAUGCAUAUAGAUGUCUGAAUAGAGUGCUGUGCUUAAAUUUUCACCAGUCUUUAUUCAGGCACAAUCAUGGCCAUUUUCACUAUAUUGAUUCGUCCUAACCAUGAGUGUGGAAUGUUUCUCCAUCUGUUUGUGUCCUCUCUUAUUUCCUUGAGCAGUGGUUCCUAGU
This is a long non-coding RNA of Callithrix jacchus (white-tufted-ear marmoset), 2451 nucleotides long. The record is from Ensembl. NCBI's taxonomy places the organism in Eukaryota, Metazoa, Chordata, Mammalia, Primates, Cebidae.